RNAcentral lists this ribosomal RNA (33 nucleotides) under Porpax braccata. RNAcentral describes it as "Conchidium braccatum partial 26S ribosomal RNA". Lineage: Eukaryota; Viridiplantae; Streptophyta; Magnoliopsida; Asparagales; Orchidaceae. The record is from RNAcentral.
GUGACCCCAGGAUGGGCGAGGCCACCCGCUGAG